Long non-coding RNA from Acanthochromis polyacanthus (spiny chromis), 1343 nucleotides. RefSeq lists it as uncharacterized. The transcript is spliced from 3 exons. The record is from RefSeq and is a predicted model, not a curated record. Lineage: Eukaryota; Metazoa; Chordata; Actinopteri; Pomacentridae.
CAAACACCACAAAUCAACCUUUUCUAUUAAUAUUAAAUCAAUAAUUAAUCAAUAAAAACUCAUCUCAAGUCCUUCACCUGCACAGAGUGAAUAACAGAAACUAAGUAAAAUAUGAAGACACGUUGGUUUUAUGUUGUCAGAAGUCUGGAGUUUAACUUAAAAAAAAUGAAUAUGAAAGAACAAAGUGUCAAUUAACAGGAUAUUAAUGAACAAAAGUAAAGAAAAUCAAGAUAAAAACAUAGUUAACAAAACUGUAAAACAAAAACGAAAUAUUAACACACAAAUGUUCCGAUUAUCUGGACAUUAACGCACAAAAUUCAUACAUGAAACUUUAUUUUAAAAAAUAUUUUUAAAAAAUCAAUAUUAUUUGUAACAAAAUAAAUAAAAAUUGUUAACAAAUAAUAAUAAUAAAUGAAUAAAUAUGAAUGCUUAAAACUGUUUAAAAAUAAUAAAUAUUAAUGUGCAAAACUGUUAAAAAUAUUUAAAUAAUAAUAAUAACAACAAUAAUAAUAAAUAUUAUUGGCUAAAAUUGUUAAAAAAUUAUUGAAAAAUAAAUAAUAAUAAUUAUAAUAAAUAACUAUUAAUUCACAAGUGUAAAAAAUCAUAAAAAUCAAAUAAAUAAUAUUAAUAACAAAUCAAUAUUAAAACUAUAAAUAAAUAAAUACAACUGUUAAAAUAAUAAUAAUAAACAUCAAGGCAUAAAAGUGUUUAAAAAAUUAUAAUAAGAAAUAUUAACCCAAAAGUACCAAUAACCUGGAUGCUAUGCCCAAUCUACAUUUUAAUAAUAUAUUUAUAGUAAAUUUGUAAUUUAUAUGUAAUUGAAGACAGAAUCUGUCUUCUAUAAAUUUGCCAUAACUGUCUACCAUCACGUUGAGAUGUUUCAUGGGCUUAGUUCUUCAUAUAUCUGACAGGUUUCCAUCACGUUGAGAUGUUUCAUGGGCUUAGUUCUUCAUAUAUCUGACAGGUUUCCAUCAUGUUGAGAUGUUUCAUGGGCUUAGUUCUUCAUAUAUCUGACAGGUUUCCAUCACGUUGAGAUGUUUCAUGGGCUUAGUUCUUCAUAUAUCUGACAGGUUUCCAUCACGUUGAGAUGUUUCAUGGGCUUAGUUCUUCAUAUAUCUGACAGGUUUCCAUCACGUUGAGAUGUUUCAUGGGCUUAGUUCUUCAUAUAUCUGACAGGCUUCCAUCACGUUGAGAUGUUUCAUGGGCUUAGUUCUUCAUAUAUCUGACAGGUUUCCAUCACGUUGAGAUGUUUCAUGGGCUUAGUUCUUCAUAUAUCUGACAGGUUUCCAUCACGUUGAGAUGUUUCAUGGGCUUAGUUCUUCAUAUAUCUGACAGGUUUCCAU